AUGAUAAAGAAAAGAAGGAGCAAUGGUCAUGCCAGAAAGGGUCGUGGCUACAUGCAGCCCAUUCACUGCAGGAACUACACCUGAUGCAUGCCCAAGAAUAAGGCUAUUAAGAAAUUUGUCAUUCGAAACAUAGUGGAGGCCGCAGCUGUCAGGGACAUUUCUGAAGCAAGUGUCUUCAAUGUCUCUGUGUUUCCCAAGUUGUAUGUGAAGUUGCAUUACUGUGUGAGUUCUGCCAUUCACAGCAAGGUAGUCAGGAAUCAGUCUUGUGAAGCCGGCAAGGACCCAACACCCCUACCCCAAUUUAGACCUGCGGGUGCUGCCCCACGACCUCUACCAAAGCCCAUGUAUGGAGCUGAGUCCUUAAGGACUGAGGAACAACUAGAAGAAGAUGCUACUUCUAACCUGAUUAAGAGCAUAUAG
Molecule: RNA transcript, 420 nt
Organism: Carlito syrichta (Philippine tarsier)
Lineage: Eukaryota; Metazoa; Chordata; Mammalia; Primates; Tarsiidae
Gene name: 40S ribosomal protein S26-like
Exons: 1
Source: RefSeq, a predicted model, not a curated record